AGAGUUUGAUCCUGGCUCAGAACGAACGCUGGCAGCGUGGAUUAGGCAUGCAAGUCGAACGGGAUUGACCUGAUAGCAAUAUUGGGUCAUGAGAGUGGCGAAAGGGCGAGUAAUGCAUGGGCAAUCUAUCCUUGAGUUCGGGAUAACUCAGCGAAAGUUGAGCUAAUACCGGAUGUGGUUACGGCGGGGCAUCCUGCUGUUACUAAAGAUGGGGCUCCUUCGGGACCUGUCGCUCUUGGCGGAGCCCGUGUGCCAUCAGCUUGUUGGUGAGGUAACGGCUCACCAAGGCUUACGGCUAGCUGGUCUGAGAGGGCGAUCAGCCGCACUGGGACUGAGACACUGCCCAGACUCCUACGGGAGGCUGCAGUCGAGGAUCAUUCGCAAUGCGCGAAAGCGUGACGAUGCGACGCUGCGUGGAGGACGACGGCCUUCGGGUUGUAAACUCCUGUCAUGGGGGAAAAAUGUAUUGGAUGUUAACAGCAUCUGGUAUUUGAUGGUACCCCAAGAGGAAGCCACGGCUAACUCUGUGCCAGCAGCCGCGGUAAUACAGAGGUGGCGAGCGUUGUUCGGAUUUACUGGGCGUAAAGGGCGCGUAGGCGGCAUUGUGUGUCGUAUGUGAAAUCCCCGGGCUCAACCCGGGAAGUGCAUGCGAAACUGCAGUGCUAGAGCAGAGGAGGGGAGAGCGGAAUUCAUGGUGUAGCGGUGAAAUGCGUUGAUAUCAUGAGGAACACCCGAGGCGAAGGCGGCUCUCUGGAAUCUUGCUGACGCUCAGGCGCGAAAGCCGGGGGAGCAAACAAGAUUAGAUACCCCUGGUAGUUCCGCCCCCUAAACGGGGCACACCGGGCGUGGGGGGCGUCCCCCCCUCCCCUGCCGGAGCUAACGUGUUAAGUGUGCCGCCUGGGGAGUACGGCCGCAAGGCUAAAACUCAAAGAAAUAGACGGGGGCCCGCACAAGCGGAGGAGCAUGUGGCUUAAUUUGAUGCAACGCGAAGAACCUUACCCGGGUUUGACAUCCAAAGAAUCCUGAUGAAAGUCGGGAGUGCCUUAGGGAGCUUUGAGACAGGUGGUGCAUGGUUGUCGUCAGCUCGUGUCGUGAGAUGUUGGGUUAAGUCCCGCAACGAGCGCAACCCCCGCUAUUAGUUGCUAACAUUCAGUUGAGCACUCUAAUGGGACUGCCCGCGACAAGCGGGAGGAAGGUGGGGAGGACGUCAAAUCAUCAUGCCCUUUAUGAUCUGGGCUACACACGUGCUACAAUGGAUGGUACAGAGAGCAGCGAGACAGUGAUGUGGAGCGAAUCUCAAAAAGCCAUUCUCAGUUCGGAUUGCAGGCUGCAACUCGCCUGCAUGAAGUCGGAAUCGCUAGUAAUCGCGGAUCAGCAUGUCGCGGUGAAAAAGGGCCCGGGCCUUGCACACACCGCCCGU
This 1420-nucleotide ribosomal RNA is filed under the name uncultured bacterium. RNAcentral's name for it is "bacterial SSU rRNA". It matches the Rfam family "Bacterial small subunit ribosomal RNA". The record is from RNAcentral.